Molecule: long non-coding RNA, 450 nt
Filed under: Mustela putorius furo (domestic ferret)
Lineage: Eukaryota; Metazoa; Chordata; Mammalia; Carnivora; Mustelidae
Description: lncRNA (ENSMPUG00000030172.1)
Source: RNAcentral
UCUGUUGUCUUAUCCUUUGUGUUGCCCCUACGUUUUAAUUUAAGGAUAACAAUCAAAUUGCAGGUAGUUUCCUGGAGAUUAAUGAUGAAGCGGGAGGCAUCCAUGUCCCUGGAACGAAUAUCUAAUCAUCAAUCCUACAGAAAUGUAAGAUACGGACGUCAUUAUCACCACCGUCGAAUGGCAAUUCUUUUUUCUUUCAAAAUUGAGCAUGCCACUGGAGAGUUGUUCCUGGGGGGAUCUGAAAUGGAGAUCCGUAAAACAAUAGGAUCUUCAAACCUGGUAAACUCACCAUCUUCUAUUAUAGGUGCAAUAUUGUAAACAACGGCAUUUGAAAUCUAAAACAGAGAUUUAUUUUCCACCAGUGUUUAUUUAUUCUGAGCAAAAUGGACUUCCUUCAAGCAACAUGUCAUCGUGUAUUAUACUCUGGCAAGCCAGAGUUUUAAUUUCAUU